UUGUCUCAAAGAUUAAGCCAUGCAUGUCUCAGUACAAGCCAAAUUAAGGUGAAACCGCGAAAGGCUCAUUAAAUCAGUUAUGGUUCCUUAGAUCGUACCCACAUUUACUUGGAUAACUGUGGUAAUUCUAGAGCUAAUACAUGCAAACAGAGCUCCGACCGGAGACGGAAGGAGCGCUUUUAUUAGAUCAAAACCAAUCGGCGGCGGGUUCGCCCGUUCGUCGUACAACUUGGUGAAUCUGAAUAACUUUCUGCUGAUCGCAUGGUCUCGCACCGGCGACGCAUCUUUCAAAUGUCUGCCUUAUCAACUGUCGAUGGUAGGUUCUGCGCCUACCAUGGUUGUAACGGGUAACGGGGAAUCAGGGUUCGAUUCCGGAGAGGGAGCCUGAGAAACGGCUACCACAUCCAAGGAAGGCAGCAGGCGCGCAAAUUACCCACUCCCGGCACGGGGAGGUAGUGACGAAAAAUAACGAUACGGGACUCAUCCGAGGCCCCGUAAUCGGAAUGAGUACACUCUAAACCCUUUAACGAGGAUCAAUUGGAGGGCAAGUCUGGUGCCAGCAGCCGCGGUAAUUCCAGCUCCAAUAGCGUAU
This 592-nucleotide ribosomal RNA is filed under the name Potamophilus kelabitensis. RNAcentral's name for it is "SSU rRNA". It matches the Rfam family "Eukaryotic small subunit ribosomal RNA", at positions 32 to 602 of the family's 1831-position model. Lineage: Eukaryota; Metazoa; Arthropoda; Insecta; Coleoptera; Elmidae. The record is from RNAcentral.